UUGGAGGGCAAGUCUGGUGCCAGCAGCCGCGGUAAUUCCAGCUCCAAUAGCGUAUAUUAAAGUUGUUGCAGUUAAAAAGCUCGUAGUUGAAUUUCGAGAUCAGUACGCUGGUCGUGCCUUCGGUAUGCACUGGUGUCACUGGUUUCUCCCUUCUGAAGAACCGUCAUGUCAUUAAGUUGGUGUGGCGGGGAAUCAGGACUGUUACUUUGAAAAAAUUUGAGUGUUUAAAGCAGGCUCGCGCUUGAAUACAUUAGCAUGGAAUAAUGAAAUAGGACGUUUGACCCUAUUUUGUUGGUUUCUAGGAUCGACGUAAUGAUUAAUAGGGAUAGUUGGGGGCAUUAGUAUUCAAUUGUCAGAGGUGAAAUUCUUGGAUUUAUUGAAGACUAACUACUGCGAAAGCAUUUGCCAAGGAUGUUUUCAUUAAUCAAGAACGAAAGUUAGGGGAUCGAAGACGAUCAGAUACCGUCGUAGUCUUAACCAUAAACUAUGCCGACUAGGGAUCGGAUGAUGUUAAUUUUUUAAUGACUCAUUCGGCGCCUUACGGGAAAC
Molecule: ribosomal RNA, 549 nt
Filed under: uncultured Glomus
Lineage: Eukaryota; Fungi; Glomeromycota; Glomeromycetes; Glomerales; Glomeraceae
Description: SSU rRNA
Rfam family: Eukaryotic small subunit ribosomal RNA
Source: RNAcentral